Eurytemora carolleeae is the source of this 341-nucleotide long non-coding RNA. RefSeq lists it as uncharacterized. The record is from RefSeq and is a predicted model, not a curated record. The transcript has 5 exons. NCBI's taxonomy places the organism in Eukaryota, Metazoa, Arthropoda, Copepoda, Calanoida, Temoridae.
GCAAUGGUUCAGUCCAGUUUUAUCCUCCAAACUAUAAACACAGUAGGAGGAAAGGAGGAUUCAUUGGAUAGAGGACGGCCGCCGGUACAAUAGGAUACUGUACAAGGUUGAGCAAUGUCUGACAGUGACAGUGAACGAGAAGAGGAGUAAAGAUUAAAAAUGCUGAAUAUUUCCAAGUUUUUGGGACUCUCUAAUGACAGUGACUCCGAUAGAACUCAAGAGAGGGAGGAUUCUUCCACAAGUAGUGAUGAUAGCAGGCGAAAGGAUGGAAAAAGAGGAUCCUUGGAGCAUGCCAACUCCCUUCCUAACCCUGAGUUUGUAGGUAGGUGGAGCAUGCCAAC